RNAcentral lists this transfer RNA (84 nucleotides) under Arthrobacter rhombi. Its description in RNAcentral is "tRNA-Leu". It matches the Rfam family "tRNA". Rfam says of the family: Transfer RNA (tRNA) molecules are approximately 80 nucleotides in length. Their secondary structure includes four short double-helical elements and three loops (D, anti-codon, and T loops). The record is from RNAcentral. RNAcentral also lists the same sequence under 1 other name. Lineage: Bacteria; Bacillati; Actinomycetota; Actinomycetes; Micrococcales; Micrococcaceae.
GCCCGAGUGGCGGAAUGGCAGACGCGUCGCACUCAAAAUGCGAUAUCGAGAGAUGUGUGGGUUCGAGUCCCACCUCGGGCACCA